Small nuclear RNA from Sceloporus undulatus (fence lizard), 132 nucleotides. NCBI's taxonomy places the organism in Eukaryota, Metazoa, Chordata, Lepidosauria, Squamata, Phrynosomatidae. The record is from RefSeq and is a predicted model, not a curated record.
GUGUUAUAUGAAGGAAGAAGAGAUUAGCAUUUCCUUUGAUGAGGACAGAAGAGGCCCUAGUGCCCUGUUCAGCACAUGAAUGGAUGAGGCAACACCAUUUACUUUGGCAUCUAAAUAGGGCCUGUGUUUGUU